This 1338-nucleotide long non-coding RNA is filed under the name Erythranthe guttata (spotted monkey flower). Its description in RNAcentral is "long non-coding RNA (EGUT_LNC000654)". Lineage: Eukaryota; Viridiplantae; Streptophyta; Magnoliopsida; Lamiales; Phrymaceae. The record is from RNAcentral.
AUGUUGGUGACCAUCGGACAACAAAGAACCAUGUUCUUGAACUUCAUUUGAGAUUUCCACAAGAAAGUCUAACAGUGGCUUUCUUUCAAUGAAUAAAAGAUUUUCUGUUAAAACAAGACACAAGUUAUUAUAUGCAAACACUACAACAAACUGAAACUAAAUAUUUACAGGUGCAUAAUGUUCCACCCAUUUUUGAAAAAACAACAAAUCUUUCAACAACAAAUUUUCUUUGUAUACCUCGACUAAAAUUGAGCCAUCUUGUUUGGCAGCUACAUGAACCAUAUCUUGGUUAUAGCAUAGCUCAGUUUUCCUGUCAUAUAAGAAAAAUGCAUAAUAUUUAGAUAAUAAGUGUACCACUGCUUCAUAUUCCAAAGUGCAGCUUUACUUUUCUUACACAAAAUCUGAAAGAUAUUGUCAGACAAUACCUAGCAUCCCCUUCCACACAUCUACAAAAUUCAACGUGGCAUGGAAAUAAUUUCUGAGUAAAAUUGGAAAGGGAACAAUUUGAAUUAAAUCAGCAACAAGUCAAAAAACCAUGAAGCUUUUGUACAAGAAAUAUCAAUUUGCAUCUUCAUGCAAAAGAAAAAAGUUAUCAAGUACUUCAUGCGUCCAGGAGAACAACUUAGCCAGUAAUCCGUCUAGAAACUGAAAAAAUUACACAUAGUCAUUAGGUUUUAAUAGGUACACUCAAACAACAGGGAAAAAAACCCUAACAAUCUCAAAGUACAAAUAUAAAUCAAAUUAUAGAGAACUUAGAUAAAUCAGUAAUUAUUAGCAAGUUAUAUUACUAAAAAAGAAUGCAAGUAUAACUAGCCCUUUGCUGCAUUGAGAUGCUGCAUCGAGAGGCUCCGAGAAACGUACUCAGAAAUUUAUAUGUUAUGACAGAAUUAUCUUCAUGUGAUUCAGGGGACCUCAAGCCUUACUAAAACUAAAAUAAACAUAAAAUAUUGCCAAGUAAAAAGCAAAAUAUGUAUAUAUAAAAAGAGGAAAAGGGCAAGCAAUAACAUAUAUUACAACUAGCUUCAUAGAACUUAAUAGUUUUGCGGAGAAAAGGAGAAAAAUUAAUUACCUCUCAACUGUAUUAAAUCAUAUUCUCCUGCAGGAGACAUGAUCAAAUUUGGAGUAAAUUAAAGCCCAUUAGUCAAAUUCCAUAAAGUUGAAGGCAAUGUAUAGUAAUGAUCAAUGAUGGACACUGCAAACAAAAAAUAAAUAAAAAAUUAUGCAUGAUAUUCAAAACUCCCAAUUUCUAUUAUUAUAUUGCUUCACAGAAUAAGCACACUCACAGGUGAUACAGACUGGAAAUCAAUUUAAACUUAUAAACAACAUUAAUAACAAAAA